Molecule: non-coding RNA, 628 nt
Organism: Pelobates cultripes (western spadefoot toad)
Lineage: Eukaryota; Metazoa; Chordata; Amphibia; Anura; Pelobatidae
Source: the annotation of a GenBank genome assembly
AUGUGGUUGGGUGUAAUUUUUCUUGCCCAGUGUUAUAAAUUGUAGCCUAUUUCCAGGUGGCACUAUUUCCAUGUGCAAUACAAGUAGUCCAUGUAUAAAAUGUUUGUAUGUGUCUGUAUAUGUCCUGCUGCCAAUUUCUCUGAAAUUAUGUUGAUGUCCAAAGAUUGUGUUAAAAUACUUAGAACACAAAGUAAUCCACCCAAAAUAAGGCACAAAACAAACAAACAUUUUUAUUGCAAAGCUGUGCAACUGGAGUCUCUGAAAUUCGAGUAAUCGAUUUUUGCAAAAAAAAGUAACAGAAUAUUAAUCCUGCAUAUGGAUCUGCAGAAAAUGUGUGUGGCACAGUGGACAGCAUCUUGAACCACGUGGAUCAAUCAGUGACAACUGGGUUGUUCACUAAGCAACUCAUUUGUGUGCUUUAAAUUCAUACUGGAAAAACUGAAUCGAAAAUAGCCAAGCUAGAGUUUUUUUGUUUUUUUUCCCCCCCCCUAGAUCAGCUAUUUAUGCCUUUGUUUUUACCUUUUGAAUUUAAUUUGCAGUUUAGUGAAUAAACAAACGUAUAACAGUUGUUGGUUAUCUGCAUAUUACAGAUGGGAAUGAUUGCACCAGGGUGCUAACAGGUUUUAAA